RNAcentral lists this ribosomal RNA (275 nucleotides) under uncultured bacterium. RNAcentral describes it as "partial 16S ribosomal RNA". It matches the Rfam family "Bacterial small subunit ribosomal RNA", at positions 337 to 604 of the family's 1533-position model. The record is from RNAcentral.
CCCUACGGGAGGCAGCAGUAGGGAAUUUUCGGCAAUGGGGGGAACCCUGACCGAACAACGCCGCGUGAAGGAAGAAGGAAUUCGUUCUGUAAACUUCUGUUAUAAAGGAAGAAAGGCGGAUGAAGGAAAUGACAUCCGAGAGACGGUAAUUUAUGAGAAAGCCACGGCUAACUACGUGCCAGCAACCGCGGUAAUACGUAGGUGGCAAGCGUUAUCCGGAAUUAUUGGGCGUAAAGAGGGAGCAGGCGGCAGCAAAGGUCUGUGAGGAAGGACGG